UCCUGUAAAAGCUGCGGACUGAAACGCAUGAGGCCUUCCUUGGGGGUUGACUGGAGGAGUCUCAUCUCGCAGCGCGUACGGCGGCGGCGGAGAGGCAGCGGCCGCGCCGACCUCGACUCGGUCAGUCAGCAAGGAGGCACAACACAGGUGCUGCGCAACAGAAAGCCACGCAGCAGUCAGCAGGGUUGCUGCGCUGCAUUUUUGUGCCCUCAGUGACAAGAAGAAGAAGAAGGAGGAGGAAGAGGAAGAAGUAGUUUCGGUAGAGAAGCGCUGUGGGGCACGGGCCUGCGUCGGGACAGGGAAACCUACCUGACGGGAGGCGGACGGAAAGCCAUGUGUUGCACAGAAUCCAUCUGCAUGUGUUGAACAACCAACAAACCUGCAUCCAACCCGCGACCAUCAAACCAUCAUCACCAGAGCGCCACCACAAAUGGCAGACACGGUGCACCUACGAGACUCAAACCCUUCAGCAAACGCCAUCAAGAGCUCUCUGCAAAGCAGUUGAUUCUGGAGUUCAGGCUUUCAUUGCCCUCUGCACAAAACCUGCAUGAAUGAUGCAGCAGAAGGAGGAUCUGUGAGCAGA
Molecule: long non-coding RNA, 583 nt
Organism: Poecilia latipinna (sailfin molly)
Lineage: Eukaryota; Metazoa; Chordata; Actinopteri; Cyprinodontiformes; Poeciliidae
Exons: 3
Source: RefSeq, a predicted model, not a curated record